GCCAGGGAGGCUGGGCUGAGGAGGGCCACACCGGGCUGCAGGCAGCGCUGGCUGCCUGGUCUCUGCUUGGAGAGCUGGAGAAGUGGCAGCUUGUGUUCAGCAAAAGCUCCCUGGGUGUCAGAGGGUACCAAGUGUGAGAGACACCCCCACUGGAGAACACUGUCCUGUCCAGACCACAGGGAGAGGUCCUCAUGUUGAUGCUUAGCUCAAGAGCUAGCUUGGGAGAGCCGGGGAGAUGGGUAGAGGAUGGGCAGAUCUCCAGAGCUAGAGACUACGGUGCACAAAGCGUCCCUAACCUCAUUUCUCUUGAAAACAGAAGCUUCUAAAGGGGGAUGUGUAGGCUGGCCGUGCUAGUGCUGCCGAACUCACACCGAACUCCGAACACCGUCUUGGCCCAUGCCUACCCUCCCUUGACUUUCUCCAUGGCCAGGUGACUCGUGGCUUAAGCGAACUGACUUGGGGAUUCUUUGGGAAUCACUUUGCACCCUGGAGGCCCCUUUCCUGCUAUCUCAACCUGUUUCACUGCCAUUCCUAAUCCUAGUCAAAUCUGGACCCCUCCGGAAGUGGGGCCCAAUUAUACUCCAGAGCAAUCACACCUCUGGGGUCUGGCUUGGACGUUUUUUUUGUUUUUGUUUUUUCCAGAGCAGCCUGUGCAGCGUCACAUUUGAGGGUCAGACAGACUGUUCCAUGACCUAAUGCCUCUACUGUAAAGAAUGUGUCCCCUGAGAAUCGCAGCCACCAGAAGAAAGUGACACAUUCCAAGUAACCCAGAGGAAAAUGGGUAACACUGGUUUGGCAAAGGAAUUUGAAGAGCGGCACUCAUGGUUGGAGCUGUCUCAGCACAGCAAAACAAGAAGACAUGUAAAAGGAUAAUAGUGGAGGAAACCAGCCACCCUCUCCAACGUUCUGAUUGCUUACAAACAGGGGAAGAACUUCAAAUAUCUACCCAGUGUCUUCCUUUUGACCUUUGGAAGGAAAGCAAGAGCUUCGAAAGGAACUCCCACGACACCUGCUUCUCCUCAUGGAGCAUGAGGGUUUUCCCCAUCUCUUUCCCUAAAAGCCACAGAUACAAGUCCAGCAACUCCUCGUGCAAAGCAGCCAGGAGCAGCUCAGCCCUGAAAAAAACAGAAUGUACAACGAAGGGUGGACCGGUCGGGCGCCCCACUCCGGGGGCAGGCUCCGCAGCCAGCGAUCGGAAUGGAUUUAGGAUCGAGAAGAUCCGCAAAGGCGAGCGUCCACCGGGGCUGGAGACGGCCGAGUGCGGGCGUGCGGCCUUUCUUCCCCGGCGGGCGGAAACCUCCUUUCCACGGUGGCAACAACUCCUGGAAAACAGAAAAUCGCGCGAGCAGGAGAGCGGCGGCGCCUGCCUGCGGCCCGGGCGCGCGGAGAGCUCCCUCUCCGGGACCCCGGGCGCGUCGCGCUUGCAGGCUCCAGGCGGGGUGGGGGCCCGCGCGCGCCGGCCUGCUCCGCGAGCCAGAGGGAAGGGCCGCCCCGCAGCACCCCGGAAGGGCCUGGAGGCGUCUCGGGCCAGCGGCCAGCGCAGGCCUCCGCUCCCGGGGACAGCGGUCGCCGCGGCCGAGGCGGGGGUGGGGCGCCCCGCGCUGCAGCCUCCCGUCGUGCGCGGGCCCCGCGGAGCUGGCCGAGGGGCGGGAGCCGGCGGUGCGCGCGGGGGAGGCGGGGGCGGCGGG
This 1688-nucleotide long non-coding RNA is filed under the name Canis lupus familiaris (dog). Its description in RNAcentral is "lncRNA (ENSCAFG00030019118.1)". Lineage: Eukaryota; Metazoa; Chordata; Mammalia; Carnivora; Canidae. The record is from RNAcentral.